GAUAAACGCUGGCGGCGCACAUAAGACAUGCAAGUCGAACGAACUUAACUCAUUCUUUACGAUUGAGAGCGGUUAGUGGCGGACUGGUGAGUAACACGUAAGCAACCUGCCUAUUAGAGGGGAAUAACAGUGAGAAAUCAUUGCUAAUACCGCAUAUGCUCACAGCAACACAUGUUGCAGUGAGGAAAGGAGUAAUCCGCUAAUAGAUGGACUUGCGUCUGAUUAGCUAGUUGGUGGGGUAACGGCCUACCAAGGCGACGAUCAGUAGCCGGACUGAGAGGUUGAACGGCCACAUUGGGACUGAGAUACGGCCCAGACUCCUACGGGAGGCAGCAGUCGGGAAUAUUGCGCAAUGGAGGAAACUCUGACGCAGUGACGCCGCGUAUAGGAAGAAGGUUUUCGGAUUGUAAACUAUUGUCAUUAGGGAAGAUAAAGACUGUACCUAAGGAGGAAGCCCCGGACUAACUAUGUG
This 472-nucleotide ribosomal RNA is filed under the name uncultured bacterium. RNAcentral describes it as "bacterial SSU rRNA". It matches the Rfam family "Bacterial small subunit ribosomal RNA", at positions 28 to 507 of the family's 1533-position model. The record is from RNAcentral.